Molecule: ribosomal RNA, 630 nt
Filed under: Trametes velutina
Lineage: Eukaryota; Fungi; Basidiomycota; Agaricomycetes; Polyporales; Polyporaceae
Description: eukaryotic LSU rRNA
Rfam family: 5.8S ribosomal RNA (bases 231-384)
Source: RNAcentral
AAAGUCGUAACAAGGUUUCCGUAGGUGAACCUGCGGAAGGAUCAUUAACGAGUUUUGAAACGGGUUGUAGCUGGCCUUCCGAGGCAUGUGCACGCCCUGCUCAUCCACUCUACCCCUGUGCACUUACUGUAGGUUGGCGUGGGCUCCUUCACGGGAGCAUUCUGCCGGCCUAUGUAUACUACAAACACUWUAAAGUAUCAGAAUGUGAACGCGUCUMACGCAUAUAAUACAACUUUUAGCAACGGAUCUCUUGGCUCUCGCAUCGAUGAAGAACGCAGCGAAAUGCGAUAAGUAAUGUGAAUUGCAGAAUUCAGUGAAUCAUCGAAUCUUUGAACGCACCUUGCGCUCCUUGGUAUUCCGAGGAGCAUGCCUGUUUGAGUGUCAUGGAAUUCUCAACUUAUAAAUCCUUGUGAUCUAUAAGCUUGGACUUGGAGGCUUGCUGGCCCUUGCGGUCGGCUCCUCUUGAAUGCAUUAGCUUGAUUCCGUACGGAUCGGCUCUCAGUGUGAUAAUUGUCUACGCUGUGACCGUGAAGUGUUUUGGCAAGCUUCUAACCGUCCAUUAGGACAAUCUUUUAACAUCUGACCUCAAAUCAGGUAGGACUACCCGCUGAACUUAAGCAUAUCAAUAAG